RNAcentral lists this unclassified non-coding RNA (260 nucleotides) under Hevea brasiliensis (rubber tree). The record is from RNAcentral. Lineage: Eukaryota; Viridiplantae; Streptophyta; Magnoliopsida; Malpighiales; Euphorbiaceae.
AUUCAUUUUUGGAUUACUUGAGGCAUUUAGUUGCUCUGCCAGUUGUACAAGUGAUGUUCCUCAUAUUCCUGUAAGUUGAGAUGUUACAUUUUGAUUCUUUAUACUUUGAUUUUCAUUUAUGUGGAACUCCUUUGAUUGCACAAUGUCCCAAUGAAUCUGAUUUUUGUAUUAUUAAUUUGCUAUUGCUUACGAUUGUAUAAUCUGGAGAUGGAUUUGAAACUUAAGAAUCAAUCUUAAAAGAAUUUUACUUUAUUGAUGAA